UACAGAGGUCCCAAGCGUUGUUCGGAUUCAUUGGGCGUAAAGCGUGCGCAGGCGGUUAUGUAAGACAGGUGUGAAAUCCCCGGGCUUAACCUGGGAACUGCAUUUGUGACUGCAUAGCUAGAGUACGGUAGAGGGGGAUGGAAUUCCGCGUGUAGCAGUGAAAUGCGUAGAUAUGCGGAGGAACACCGAUGGCGAAGGCAAUCCCCUGGACCUGUACUGACGCUCAUGCACGAAAGCGUGGGGAGCAAACAGG
Molecule: ribosomal RNA, 253 nt
Filed under: uncultured bacterium
Lineage: Bacteria
Description: partial 16S ribosomal RNA
Rfam family: Bacterial small subunit ribosomal RNA
Source: RNAcentral